UUCGACACACUAUCAUUAACUGAAUCCAUAGGUUAAUGAGGCGAACCGGGGGAACUGAAACAUCUAAGUACCCCGAGGAAAAGAAAUCAACCGAGAUUCCCCCAGUAGCGGCGAGCGAACGGGGAGGAGCCCAGAGCCUGAAUCAGUGUGUGUGUUAGUGGAAGCGUCUGGAAAGGCGCGCGAUACAGGGUGACAGCCCCGUACACAAAAAUGCACAUACUGUGAGCUCGAUGAGUAGGGCGGGACACGUGGUAUCCUGUCUGAAUAUGGGGGGACCAUCCUCCAAGGCUAAAUACUCCUGACUGACCGAUAGUGAACCAGUACCGUGAGGGAAAGGCGAAAAGAACCCCGGCGAGGGGAGUGAAAAAGAACCUGAAACCGUGUACGUACAAGCAGUGGGAGCCUCUUAAUGGGGUGACUGCGUACCUUUUGUAUAAUGGGUCAGCGACUUAUAUUCUGUAGCAAGGUUAACCGAAUAGGGGAGCCGAAGGGAAACCGAGUCUUAACUGGGCGUUAAGUUGCAGGGUAUAGACCCGAAACCCGGUGAUCUAGCCAUGGGCAGGUUGAAGGUUGGGUAACACUAACUGGAGGACCGAACCGACUAAUGUUGAAAAAUUAGCGGAUGACUUGUGGCUGGGGGUGAAAGGCCAAUCAAACCGGGAGAUAGCUGGUUCUCCCCGAAAGCUAUUUAGGUAGCGCCUCGUGAAUUCAUCUCCGGGGGUAGAGCACUGUUUCGGCAAGGGGGUCAUCCCGACUUACCAACCCGAUGCAAACUGCGAAUACCGGAGAAUGUUAUCACGGGAGACACACGGCGGGUGCUAACGUCCGUCGUGAAGAGGGAAACAACCCAGACCGCCAGCUAAGGUCCCAAAGUCAUGGUUAAGUGGGAAACGAUGUGGGAAGGCCCAGACAGCCAGGAUGUUGGCUUAGAAGCAGCCAUCAUUUAAAGAAAGCGUAAUAGCUCACUGGUCGAGUCGGCCUGCGCGGAAGAUGUAACGGGGCUAAACCAUGCACCGAAGCUGCGGCAGCGACACUAUGUGUUGUUGGGUAGGGGAGCGUUCUGUAAGCCUGUGAAGGUGUACUGUGAGGUAUGCUGGAGGUAUCAGAAGUGCGAAUGCUGACAUAAGUAACGAUAAAGCGGGUGAAAAGCCCGCUCGCCGGAAGACCAAGGGUUCCUGUCCAACGUUAAUCGGGGCAGGGUGAGUCGACCCCUAAGGCGAGGCCGAAAGGCGUAGUCGAUGGGAAACAGGUUAAUAUUCCUGUACUUGGUGUUACUGCGAAGGGGGGACGGAGAAGGCUAUGUUGGCCGGGCGACGGUUGUCCCGGUUUAAGCGUGUAGGCUGGUUUUCCAGGCAAAUCCGGAAAAUCAAGGCUGAGGCGUGAUGACGAGGCACUACGGUGCUGAAGCGACAAAUGCCCUGCUUCCAGGAAAAGCCUCUAAGCAUCAGGUAACAUCAAAUCGUACCCCAAACCGACACAGGUGGUCAGGUAGAGAAUACCAAGGCGCUUGAGAGAACUCGGGUGAAGGAACUAGGCAAAAUGGUGCCGUAACUUCGGGAGAAGGCACGCUGAUAUGUAGGUGAAGCGACUUGCUCGUGGAGCUGAAAUCAGUCGAAGAUACCAGCUGGCUGCAACUGUUUAUUAAAAACACAGCACUGUGCAAACACGAAAGUGGAUGUAUACGGUGUGACGCCUGCCCGGUGCCGGAAGGUUAAUUGAUGGGGUUAGCGGUAACGCGAAGCUCUUGAUCGAAGCCCCGGUAAACGGCGGCCGUAACUAUAACGGUCCUAAGGUAGCGAAAUUCCUUGUCGGGUAAGUUCCGACCUGCACGAAUGGCGUAAUGAUGGCCAGGCUGUCUCCACCCGAGACUCAGUGAAAUUGAACUCGCUGUGAAGAUGCAGUGUACCCGCGGCAAGACGGAAAGACCCCGUGAACCUUUACUAUAGCUUGACACUGAACAUUGAGCCUUGAUGUGUAGGAUAGGUGGGAGGCUUUGAAGUGUGGACGCCAGUCUGCAUGGAGCCGACCUUGAAAUACCACCCUUUAAUGUUUGAUGUUCUAACGUGGGCCCCUUACCGGGGUUGCGGACAGUGUCUGGUGGGUAGUUUGACUGGGGCGGUCUCCUCCUAAAGAGUAACGGAGGAGCACGAAGGUUGGCUAAUCCUGGUCGGACAUCAGGAGGUUAGUGCAAUGGCAUAAGCCAGCUUGACUGCGAGCGUGACGGCGCGAGCAGGUGCGAAAGCAGGUCAUAGUGAUCCGGUGGUUCUGAAUGGAAGGGCCAUCGCUCAACGGAUAAAAGGUACUCCGGGGAUAACAGGCUGAUACCGCCCAAGAGUUCAUAUCGACGGCGGUGUUUGGCACCUCGAUGUCGGCUCAUCACAUCCUGGGGCUGAAGUAGGUCCCAAGGGUAUGGCUGUUCGCCAUUUAAAGUGGUACGCGAGCUGGGUUUAGAACGUCGUGAGACAGUUCGGUCCCUAUCUGCCGUGGGCGCUGGAGAACUGAGGGGGGCUGCUCCUAGUACGAGAGGACCGGAGUGGACGCAUCACUGGUGUUCGGGUUGUCAUGCCAAUGGCACUGCCCGGUAGCUAAAUGCGGAAGAGAUAAGUGCUGAAAGCAUCUAAGCACGAAACUUGCCCCGAGAUGAGUUCUCCCUGACUCCUUGAGAGUCCUGAAGGAACGUUGAAGACGACGACGUUGAUAGGCCGGGUGUGUAAGCGCAGCGAUGCGUUGAGCUAACCGGUACUAAUGAACCGUGAGGCUUAACCUUACAACGCCGAAG
RNAcentral lists this ribosomal RNA (2779 nucleotides) under Escherichia coli. RNAcentral describes it as "partial 23S ribosomal RNA". It matches the Rfam family "Bacterial large subunit ribosomal RNA". The record is from RNAcentral. Lineage: Bacteria; Pseudomonadati; Pseudomonadota; Gammaproteobacteria; Enterobacterales; Enterobacteriaceae.